This 75-nucleotide transfer RNA is filed under the name Cordylochernes scorpioides. RNAcentral's name for it is "tRNA-Thr". The record is from RNAcentral. Lineage: Eukaryota; Metazoa; Arthropoda; Arachnida; Pseudoscorpiones; Chernetidae.
UGUCAAGGGAUGGGAAUCGAACUCACGACCUUCCGCUUACAGGGCAGAUGCCAUGACCACUAGGCUACCCUGGAC